GGAUUAGAUACCCUGGUAGUCCACGCCGUAAACGAUGUGUGCUAGCUGUUGGAUGGUAUUCCAUUCAGUGGCUGAGCUAACGUAUUAAGCACACCGCCUGGGGAGUACGGUCGCAAGACUAAAACUCAAAGGAAUUGACGGGGACCCGCACAAGCGGUGGAGCAUGUGGUUUAAUUCGAUGAUACGCGAGGUACCUUACCUACCCUUGACAUAUAUGUUGUGAUUUCUGGAAACAGAUUUCUUUGGUUCGCCCAGGCAUAUACAGGUGUUGCAUGGCUGUCGUCAGCUCGUGUCG
This 295-nucleotide ribosomal RNA is filed under the name uncultured bacterium. RNAcentral's name for it is "partial 16S ribosomal RNA". It matches the Rfam family "Bacterial small subunit ribosomal RNA", at positions 775 to 1067 of the family's 1533-position model. The record is from RNAcentral.